RNAcentral lists this ribosomal RNA (253 nucleotides) under uncultured bacterium. RNAcentral describes it as "partial 16S ribosomal RNA". It matches the Rfam family "Bacterial small subunit ribosomal RNA", at positions 524 to 776 of the family's 1533-position model. The record is from RNAcentral.
GACGGAGGGUGCUAGCGUUGUUCGGAAUUACUGGGCGUAAAGGGCGCGUAGGCGGCCUUGUGCGUCGGAUGUGAAAGCCCGGGGCUCAACCCCGGAACGGCAUCCGAUACGGCGAGGCUCGAGACCGGGAGAGGAGGGUGGAAUACCCAGUGUAGAGGUGAAAUUCGUAGAUAUCAGGAAGAACACCUAUGGCGAAGGCAGCUCUCUGGGACGGUACUGACGCUGAGACGCGAAAGCGUGGGGAGCGAACAGG